RNAcentral lists this ribosomal RNA (468 nucleotides) under Triticum aestivum (bread wheat). Its description in RNAcentral is "partial small subunit ribosomal RNA". Lineage: Eukaryota; Viridiplantae; Streptophyta; Magnoliopsida; Poales; Poaceae. The record is from RNAcentral.
AUGUCCGGCGUUGUAGACACGCGGCGCACGACCAUCCUUGGGCAGUGUUCGCACUUAGUGAGUGGCAACGGUGCGCCGACGAGCUUUUGGGCAAGCACCGAGCCCGGCCGGCCACCAUUCGUGUAUCUGCCGACGAACCACCGACGGUGCAGAUUCGAGCGGCCAGAGGACGAGCCACUGCCUGCAUGUGGCCUUGCGGCCCUGCCAGGGCCUUCCGGCGAGGUGCCCGGCCUCCCACAGCUGGGCGAGCUCAAGACCGACCGGAUCCGCCCCAAAUCCGACCGGCGGGUGCGCAAACCAGGUGGCCGUGGUUUGGGUAGCUCGGCGGCACCGAGGGGAAGGGGCUGGGCGAGCGCGCGUCCGGGCUGCACGGCUGCAAUGGGAGCGGCGGCGGCGGCGAGGGGAACAGUGGGAAGAAUGGAGAAAAGUGGAGUGGGGUGCGGCCGGAAGGAGGGAGGGGGCGGAUAG